Molecule: ribosomal RNA, 449 nt
Filed under: uncultured bacterium
Lineage: Bacteria
Description: partial 16S ribosomal RNA
Rfam family: Bacterial small subunit ribosomal RNA
Source: RNAcentral
AACGAACGCUGGCGGCAGGCCUAACACAUGCAAGUCGAACGCCCUAGCAAUAGGGAGUGGCGCACGGGUGCGUAACGCGUGGGAAUAUGCCCUUGACUGCGGAACAACGUCGGGAAACUAACGCUAAUACCGCAUAAUGUCUUCGGACCAAAGAUUUAUCGGUCAAGGAUUAGCCCGCGUCUGAUUAGCUAGUUGGUGAGGUAACGGCUCACCAAGGCGACGAUCAGUAGGGGGUCUGAGAGGAUGAUCCCCCACACUGGGACUGAGACACGGCCCAGACUCCUACGGGAGGCAGCAGUGAGGAAUAUUGGACAAUGGGCGCAAGCCUGAUCCAGCCAUGCCGCGUGAGUGACGAAGGCCUUCGGGUUGUAAAGCUCUUUCAGAUGCGAAGAUAAUGACGGUAACAUCAGAAGAAGCCCCGGCUAAAUUCGUGCCAGCCGCCGCGGUAA